RNAcentral lists this ribosomal RNA (465 nucleotides) under Vreelandella stevensii. Its description in RNAcentral is "partial 16S ribosomal RNA". It matches the Rfam family "Bacterial small subunit ribosomal RNA", at positions 338 to 795 of the family's 1533-position model. The record is from RNAcentral. Lineage: Bacteria; Pseudomonadati; Pseudomonadota; Gammaproteobacteria; Oceanospirillales; Halomonadaceae.
CCUACGGGUGGCAGCAGUGGGGAAUAUUGGACAAUGGGGGGAACCCAGAUCCAGCCAUGCCGCGUGUGUGAAGAAGGCCCUCGGGUUGUAAAGCACUUUCAGUGAGGAAGAACGCCUGGUGGUUAAUACCCAUCAGGAAAGACAUCACUCACAGAAGAAGCACCGGCUAACUCCGUGCCAGCAGCCGCGGUAAUACGGAGGGUGCGAGCGUUAAUCGGAAUUACUGGGCGUAAAGCGCGCGUAGGUGGCUUGAUAAGCCGGUUGUGAAAGCCCCGGGCUCAACCUGGGAACGGCAUCCGGAACUGUCAAGCUAGAGUGCAGGAGAGGAAGGUAGAAUUCCCGGUGUAGCGGUGAAAUGCGUAGAGAUCGGGAGGAAUACCAGUGGCGAAGGCGGCCUUCUGGACUGACACUGACACUGAGGUGCGAAAGCGUGGGUAGCAAACAGGAUUAGAUACCCUGGUAGUC